This 566-nucleotide ribosomal RNA is filed under the name Lambertella sp. TNS:F-40038. RNAcentral's name for it is "eukaryotic LSU rRNA". It matches the Rfam family "Eukaryotic large subunit ribosomal RNA", at positions 57 to 638 of the family's 3401-position model. The record is from RNAcentral. Lineage: Eukaryota; Fungi; Ascomycota; Leotiomycetes; Helotiales; Rutstroemiaceae.
AAAAGAACCAACAGGGAUUGCCUCAGUAACGGCGAGUGAAGCGGCAAAAGCUCAAAUUUGAAAUCUGGCUCUCUCAGGGUCCGAGUUGUAAUUUGUAGAAGAUGUUUCGGGUGUGGUUCCGGUCUAAGUUCCUUGGAACAGGACGUCAUAGAGGGUGAGAAUCCCGUAUGUGACCGGUCGCCUUCGCCCAUGUGAAACUCUUUCGACGAGUCGAGUUGUUUGGGAAUGCAGCUCAAAAUGGGUGGUAUAUUUCAUCUAAAGCUAAAUAUUGGCCAGAGACCGAUAGCGCACAAGUAGAGUGAUCGAAAGAUGAAAAGCACUUUGGAAAGAGAGUUAAACAGUACGUGAAAUUGUUGAAAGGGAAGCGCUUGCAAUCAGACUUGCGCCUAGUUGAUCAUCUGGACUUCUGUCCCGUGCACUCGAUUAGGCUCAGGCCAGCAUCAGUUUGAGUGGUUGGAUAAAGGCUUAGGGAAUGUAGCCCCUCUCGGGGGGUGUUAUAGCCCUAGGUGCAAUGCAGCCUACUUGGACUGAGGACCGCGCUUCGGCUAGGAUGCUGGCGUAAUGGU